GAUAUUAUGAAUAAUAUCACAGUAGGUGUUCCUGCAUAAUGUGUACACCAUGUGUGUACACCCAUGUGAUAUUUGAAGUAAUAUGUC
Molecule: microRNA precursor, 87 nt
Organism: Gorilla gorilla gorilla (western lowland gorilla)
Lineage: Eukaryota; Metazoa; Chordata; Mammalia; Primates; Hominidae
Source: Ensembl